UACGGAAGGCAGCAGUGGGGAAUAUUGCACAAUGGGCGAAAGCCUGAUGCAGCGACGCCGCGUGAGGGAUGACGGCCUUCGGGUUGUAAACCUCUUUCAGCAGGGAAGAAGCCACAAGUGACGGUACCUGCAGAAGAAGCGCCGGCUAACUACGUGCCAGCAGCCGCGGUAAUACGUAGGGCGCAAGCGUUGUCCGGAAUUAUUGGGCGUAAAGAGCUCGUAGGCGGUUUUGUCGCGUCUGCUGUGAAAGCCCGGGGCUUAACCCCGGGUGUGCAGUGGGUACGGGCAGACUAGAGUGCAGUAGGGGAGACUGGAAUUCCUGGUGUAGCGGUGGAAUGCGCAGAUAUCAGGAGGAACACCGAUGGCGAAGGCAGGUCUCUGGGCUGUUACUGACGCUGAGGAGCGAAAGCAUGGGGAGCGAACAGGGAUUAGGAUACC
Molecule: ribosomal RNA, 438 nt
Filed under: uncultured bacterium
Lineage: Bacteria
Description: bacterial SSU rRNA
Rfam family: Bacterial small subunit ribosomal RNA
Source: RNAcentral